This 522-nucleotide ribosomal RNA is filed under the name uncultured bacterium. RNAcentral describes it as "bacterial SSU rRNA". It matches the Rfam family "Bacterial small subunit ribosomal RNA", at positions 777 to 1297 of the family's 1533-position model. The record is from RNAcentral.
AAUAGAUACCCCGGUAGUCCACGCCGUAAACGUUGGGCGCUAGAUGUGGGGACCAUUCCACGGUUUCCGCGUCGUAGCUAACGCAUUAAGCGCCCCGCCUGGGGAGUACGGCCGCAAGGCUAAAACUCAAAGGAAUUGACGGGGGUCCGCACAAGCGGCGGAGCAUGCGGAUUAAUUCGAUGCAACGCGAAGAACCUUACCAAGGCUUGACAUAUGCGAGAACGCUCUAGAAAUAGAGAACUCUUUGGACACUCGUAUACAGGUGGUGCAUGGUUGUCGUCAGCUCGUGUCGUGAGAUGUUGGGUUAAGUCCCGCAACGAGCGCAACCCUCGUCGCAUGUUGCCAGCACGUAAUGGUGGGAACUCAUGUGAGACUGCCGGGGUCAACUCGGAGGAAGGUGGGGAUGACGUCAAAUCAUCAUGCCCCUUAUGUCUUGGGCUUCACGCAUGCUACAAUGGCCGGUACAAAGGGCUGCGAAACCGCAAGGUGGAGCGAAUCCCAAAAAGCCGGUCUCAGUUCGGA